GAUGAACGCUGGCGGCGUGCCUAAUACAUGCAAGUCGAGCGAACAGACGAGGAGCUUGCUCCUCUGACGUUAGCGGCGGACGGGUGAGUAACACGUGGAUAACCUACAUAUAAGACUGGGAUAACUUCGGGAAACCGGAGCUAAUACCGGAUAAUAUAUUGAACCGCAUGGUUCAAUAGUGAAAGACGGUUUUGCUGUCACUUAUAUAUGGAUCCGCGCCGCAUUAGCUAGUUGGUAAGGUAACGGCUUACCAAGGCAACGAUGCGUAGCCGACCUGAGAGGGGGAUCGGCCACACUGGGACUGAGACACGGUCCAGACUCCGACGGGAGGCAGCAGUAGGGAAUCUUCCGCAAUGGGCGAAAGCCUGACGGAGCAACGCGGCGUGAGUGAUGAAGGUCUUCGGAUCGUAAAACUCUGUGAUUAGGGAAGAACAAAUGUGUAAGUAACUAUGCACGUCUUGACGGUACCUAAUCAGAAAGCCACGGCUAACUACGUG
This 497-nucleotide ribosomal RNA is filed under the name uncultured bacterium. RNAcentral describes it as "partial 16S ribosomal RNA". It matches the Rfam family "Bacterial small subunit ribosomal RNA", at positions 28 to 507 of the family's 1533-position model. The record is from RNAcentral.